Long non-coding RNA from Oncorhynchus tshawytscha (Chinook salmon), 2234 nucleotides. Lineage: Eukaryota; Metazoa; Chordata; Actinopteri; Salmoniformes; Salmonidae. The record is from Ensembl.
AUAUGGGGGAUUGGAAAUGAUGCAGACAAUUACAUUGGAAGCAACAUUCUUUCCGCAAUAUUAAGCUGAUCCACCCUCUGAGAAAAAAAACACAAAAAAACGUGUUAAACGUUUCUACUCAACGACAUCAAAAGUUUAAACAUUUUAACCUCUACGUGAUCUCCAGCCGCCCCUCCCCCCGCUGGACGGUCUUAUAUGGGCAGAAAGCUUAAAUUCUUGUUAAUCCAACUGCACUGUCCAAUUUACAGUAGCUAGCACAGUGAAAAAAUACCAUGCUAUUGUUUGAGGAGAGUGCACAACUUUUAUUACGGCAACUGGUUUGAUGCAUUCGCCUCUGAAGGUAAAUAAUGUACUCAAGUCAUCUUGCUCUGAUUUGUCAUCCUGAGGGUACCAGAGAUAAAAUGUAGCACAGUUUUGUUUGAUAAAAUACAUUUUUAUAUGAAAAUGUAGGAACUGGGUUCUACACUUUGAAUCCAUGCUGUGUCUGCCCCCCCAUCUAACUCAAGGUUGGUGUAUUUUCUGCAGGGAAGCUAAUUGUAACGGAUGUGAAACGGCUAGCUUAGUUAGCGGUGCGCGCUAAAUAGCGUUUCAAUCGGUGACGCCACUUGCUCUGAGACCUUGAAGUAGUGGUUCCCCUUGCUCUGCAAGGGCCACGGCUUUUGUGGAGCGAUGGGUAACGAUGCUUCGAGGGUGACUGUUGUUGAUGUGUGCAGAGGGUCCCUGGUUCGCGCCCGGGUAUGGGCGAGGGGACGGUCUAAAGUUAUACUGUUACAUUGGUGCCGUGACCCGGAUCACUGGUUGCUGCGGAAAAGGAGGUCAAAAGGGGGGUGAGUGUAACGGAUGUGAAAUGGCUAGCUUAGUUAGCGGUGCACGCUAAAUAGUGUUUCAAUCGGUGACGUCACUUGCUCUGAGACCUUGAAGUAAUGGUUCCCCUUGCUCUGCAAGGGCCGCGGCUUUUGUGGAGCGAUGGGUAACGAUGCUUCGAGGGUGACUGUUGUUGAUGUGUGCAGAGAGUCCCUGGUUCGCGCCCGGGUAUGGGUGAGGGGACGGUCUAAAGUUAUACUGUUACAUAAUUAUCCAUCAUUUAUGACAUUACUGAGAGUAUAAACUUAAAUGUAUUAUCAUAUUUGUAUGUUCUCUAAAGUUUUGUACUUAAAUGUAUCAAUUGACCAAUUUGUAACAUUUGGGCGGACUUGAUACAUUUUGAACAGUAAUGCAAUGGUUCAUUAGAUUAGUCUAAAACAUUGCAAAUACAGUGCUGUUGUCUAGUGGCCAAAAUCUAAAUUGCGCCUGGAGUCCUAAGUGAUAUAAUGGCGUACUCUUGCAUUUCAAAGAUGGAACAACAAAUAGAAAAUGCAUGUUUUUUUGUUUUAUCUUAUUCCAGGUCCAAUGUGUGUUAUUAUCCUACAUUCAUUUCAUAUUUCCACAAACAUAAGUGUUUCCUUUCAAAUGCUAUCAAGAAUAUGCAUAUCCUUGCUUCAGGUUCUGAGCUACAGGCAGUUCGAUUUGGGUUUGUAAUUUUAGGUGAAAAUUGAGGGAAAAAAUGAUUUUCAAAUACUGAUUCAAGGUGAUGUGACGUGUGAGGAAAUACCCUCCCUUGGUCUAAAGUUGUUGCAGGUUAUGAAAAUGUACUUUUAAUCCUACCCUGUGAUGUCAGACAAGCAUUGUUGAAGGACCUAAUCCUUUUUAACCACAGAUCAUAGAAAAGCUCUGUUCACGUGUAGAUACUGGUUUGGUGCUGGAGUUGAUGAAUGAGGUUAUUGGCAGAAUUGUCCUUUAAUCCAUAGACUUGGAAAUGAGUCUACACCAAUGAUUUAUUUAAAUGAACAAAAAUAAACACAACACGUAAAGUGUUGGUCUCAUUUUCAUGAGCUGAAACAAAAGAUCCCAGGGAUGUUCCAUAUGCACAAAGCUUAUUUCUGUCAUUUGUUAGUGAGUAUUUCUCCUUUGCAAGAUAAACAUCCACUUGACAGGUGUGGCAUAUAAAGAAGCUGAUUAAACAGCAUGAUCAUUACACAGGUGCACCUUGUGCUGGGGACAAUUAAAAGCCACUCGAAAGUGGAAUACUGCCAAAGAUGUCUCAAGUUUUGAGAGAGUGUGCAAUUGGCAUGCCGAUAUCAGGAAUGUCCAACGGAGCUGUUGCCAGAGAAUGUAAUGUUAAUUUCUUUACCAUAAGCCGCCUCCAAUGUCAUUUUAGAGAAUUUGGCAGUACAUCCAACCGGCUUUGCAACCAC